AAGUCAGCUUCUCUGAAAAUCAUUAGUGGUACCUUAGUAGAACUGUUUACAGAUGUGAUAAUCUAUCUACAUCUUAAAUAUCUACGCAAGAAGGUUUAUACUACUUCUAAAAUUUUUCUCUUAAAGGGACUAGUUUUGACAAU
RNAcentral lists this unclassified non-coding RNA (143 nucleotides) under uncultured soil eukaryote. Its description in RNAcentral is "sequence contains ITS2". The record is from RNAcentral.